UACGAAGGGUGCAAGCGUUAUUCGGAAUCACUGGGCGUAAAGGGUGCGUAGAUGGUAUGUUAAGUUCGUUGUUAAAGGCUCCGGCCUAACUGGAGUAUUGCGAUGAAAACUGGCACACUAGAGGGUGAGAGAGAGAAGUGGAAUUCCACGUGUAGCGGUGAAAUGCGUAGAUCUCGAGAGGAACACCGAUGGCGAAGGCAGCUUCUUGGUCCAUUUCUGACGCUGAGGCACGAAAGCGUGGGGAGCAAACAGG
Molecule: ribosomal RNA, 253 nt
Filed under: uncultured bacterium
Lineage: Bacteria
Description: partial 16S ribosomal RNA
Rfam family: Bacterial small subunit ribosomal RNA
Source: RNAcentral